Firmicutes bacterium CAG:555 is the source of this 127-nucleotide regulatory RNA element. It matches the Rfam family "Ribosomal protein L10 leader". From Rfam's summary of the family: This family is a putative r-protein leader autoregulatory structure found in B. subtilis and other low-GC Gram-positive bacteria. The record is from Rfam. NCBI's taxonomy places the organism in Bacteria, Bacillati, Bacillota.
AUAUUCUGUUCGAGCGCUCCAAAGACAGCAGGUCGCUUUCAGUGUAAUUCCUGCCGAGGAUAGCAUCAAUAUCAUUGAUUGCUUACUGCCUCUGCGUCUUAGGAUGCAGGGGUUUUUCUUAUGAGCG